AUGGAAAAUGGAAAAAAUAUAACAUGUUGUAGAUUGUUUAGGGAUCCAAAAUAUGCGGCACUUCAUCUUCCUCGCGAUCCAAUUUCUUCUCAAACAGUUUCAGGUUAUGAUUUCUGGCGAACUUGGCACUGUGAACAUCACCAUUCACUUCCUCAUCUCUUCAUCUCGUUUUGGCUUGCUUCAACAUCAACAAAUAUGACCUCUUUUCCCUUUCCCGUUCAUAUCGUCUCAGCUCUUCGACAUCAUCUCAUUUCUGCGGAUCCGCUUCAAAUAUUGCAAAUCAAAUUUCUAGUUCAAUCUCAGCCUCCCAUGCUCAAGCUAUCAGAGUAG
This is a non-coding RNA of Vicia faba (fava bean), 330 nucleotides long. The record is from the annotation of a GenBank genome assembly. NCBI's taxonomy places the organism in Eukaryota, Viridiplantae, Streptophyta, Magnoliopsida, Fabales, Fabaceae.